ACGGGUGAGUAACACGUGAGUAACCUGCCCUCUUCUUUGGGAUAACGCCCGGAAACGGGUGCUAAUACUGGAUAUUCACUGAUCUUCGCAUGGGGGUUGGUGGAAAGGUUUGUUCUGGUGGGGGAUGGGCUCGCGGCCUAUCAGCUUGUUGGUGGGGUGAUGGCCUACCAAGGCUUUGACGGGUAGCCGGCCUGAGAGGGUGACCGGUCACAUUGGGACUGAGAUACGGCCCAGACUCCUACGGGAGGCAGCAGUGGGGAAUAUUGCACAAUGGGCGAAAGCCUGAUGCAGCGACGCCGCGUGAGGGAUGGAGGCCUUCGGGUUGUAAACCUCUUUCGCUCAUGGUCAAGCCGCGACGUGGGUUGUGGUGAGGGUAGUGGGUAAAGAAGCGCCGGCUAACUACGUGCCAGCAGCCGCGGUAAUACGUAGGGCGCGAGCGUUGUCCGGAAUUAUUGGGCGUAAAGGGCUUGUAGGCGGUUGGUCGCGUCUGCCGUGAAAUUCUCUGGCUUAACUGGGGGCGUGCGGUGGGUACGGGCUGACUUGAGUGCGGUAGGGGAGACUGGAACUCCUGGUGUAGCGGUGGAAUGCGCAGAUAUCAGGAAGAACACCGGUGGCGAAGGCGGGUCUCUGGGCCGUUACUGACGCUGAGGAGCGAAAGCGUGGGGAGCGAACAGGAUUAGAUACCCUGGUAGUCCACGCUGUAAAC
This 706-nucleotide ribosomal RNA is filed under the name uncultured bacterium. Its description in RNAcentral is "bacterial SSU rRNA". It matches the Rfam family "Bacterial small subunit ribosomal RNA", at positions 102 to 807 of the family's 1533-position model. The record is from RNAcentral.